GGUUUCUGCUAGAAGUCAUAGC
Molecule: microRNA, 22 nt
Filed under: Pristionchus pacificus
Lineage: Eukaryota; Metazoa; Nematoda; Chromadorea; Rhabditida; Neodiplogasteridae
Description: ppc-miR-8354-3p
Source: miRBase by way of RNAcentral